GGAAUCUUCCGCAAUGGGCGAAAGCCUGACGGAGCAACGCCGCGUGAGUGAUGAAGGUUUUCGGAUCGUAAAGCUCUGUUGCCAGGGAAGAACGUCCGGUAGAGUAACUGCUACCGGAGUGACGGUACCUGAGAAGAAAGCCCCGGCUAACUACGUGCCAGCAGCCGCGGUAAUACGUAGGGGGCAAGCGUUGUCCGGAAUUAUUGGGCGUAAAGCGCGCGCAGGCGGCUAUUUAAGUCUGGUGUUUAAACCUUGGGCUCAACCUGAGGUCGCACUGGAAACUGGGUGGCUUGAGUACAGAAGAGGAAAGUGGAAUUCCACGUGUAGCGGUGAAAUGCGUAGAUAUGUGGAGGAACACCAGUGGCGAAGGCGACUUUCUGGGCUGUAACUGACGCUGAGGCGCGAAAGCGUGGGGAGCAAACA
This 423-nucleotide ribosomal RNA is filed under the name uncultured Paenibacillus sp. Its description in RNAcentral is "bacterial SSU rRNA". It matches the Rfam family "Bacterial small subunit ribosomal RNA", at positions 358 to 774 of the family's 1533-position model. The record is from RNAcentral. Lineage: Bacteria; Bacillati; Bacillota; Bacilli; Caryophanales; Paenibacillaceae.